UACGUAGGGUGCGAGCGUUAAUCGGAAUUACUGGGCGUAAAGCGUGCGCAGGCGGUUUUGUAAGCCAGAUGUGAAAUCCCCGGGCUCAACCUGGGAAUGGCAUUUGGGACUGCAAGGCUUGAGUGCGGCAGAGGAGACUGGAAUUCCUGGUGUAGCAGUGAAAUGCGUAGAUAUCAGGAGGAAUACCGAUGGCGAAGGCAGGUCUCUGGGCUGACACUGACGCUCAUGCACGAAAGCGUGGGGAGCAAACCGG
RNAcentral lists this ribosomal RNA (253 nucleotides) under uncultured bacterium. RNAcentral describes it as "partial 16S ribosomal RNA". It matches the Rfam family "Bacterial small subunit ribosomal RNA", at positions 524 to 776 of the family's 1533-position model. The record is from RNAcentral.